RNAcentral lists this ribosomal RNA (600 nucleotides) under Boaedon fuliginosus (brown house snake). Its description in RNAcentral is "partial 12S ribosomal RNA". The record is from RNAcentral. Lineage: Eukaryota; Metazoa; Chordata; Lepidosauria; Squamata; Lamprophiidae.
AUAAUAUAUACGGCGUAAAACACGACUAAAACAACAGUUCCAACACUAGGGAGAAAACAAAUCUGGGCUGUAAAAAGCCAUAAGCCUUAUAAGCACUAAACUCUAACCAUAAAACAACUUAAACUCGUGAAAGCAAGGACACAAACUAAGAUUAGAUACCUUACUAUGCCUUAUAGCCGUAACAAAACAAUAAAACUACUUAUUGUUCGCCAAACAACUACGAGUGAAAACUUAAAACUUAAAAGACUUGACGGUACUUCACACCAACCUAGAGGAGCCUGUCUAAUAACCGAUAACCCACGAUUAACCCAACCUUUUCUAGCCCAACAGUCUAUAUACCGCCGUCGCCAGCUUACCUUAUGAAAGAAACAAAGUAAGCUAAACAGCACUAAACACUAACACGACAGGUCGAGGUGUAACUAAUGAAAAGGACAAAAGAUGGGCUACAUUUUCUAAAAUAGAAUAAACGAACAGACCAUGAAAACAGAAACUGAAGGCGGAUUUAGUAGUAAGUCAAGAACAAUAUACUUUACCGAAACUAGCAAUGAAGUGCGCACACACCGCCCGUCAUCCCUGUUAGACAAAACAAACAUCCAUAAA